AGGCAUUCGACAUCUCCCGAAGUCUCUUGUUGAGCAACAGAAUCUCAACUAGAGCAGCGAUUCUUAGCUCCUCUCCUUUGAAUAAGGACAAAGGGGUUGCUCUUCUAAGAGUCUGUGUUUGAGCCCAGAAGGAGGACACCUCACAUGGAAAAGGUCCCGACUAUUGAAGGAGACGAAAGCACUGAGAUAUCUGGACGUGCUGCAGACAAACACAGAAGGUUGUGGACAAAGAGGCAGAAGGCAAAGAGGGCACUGCCCUCCCGUUCCUUUAAGUAUGCCUCCCACUGGAAAGAGGAAACAAAGUUCUAUGCUAGGAAGACAAGAUGGCAGAUCUAGUUGUCAAGCUGCUUGGAUGGUCUUGGACUCAGGGCACCUCAGUCAAGGCCAUGCUCCAUCUCCAUGACUCCCAGAUCUGUUUGGAGCCUGGAAUUCUCUCAUGCAUUCCAACCAACUAUAUUCAGCAGCUUACUGGUUGCUCUUGCACGCGAUGCAGACACCUCGUGCUUCUGACAAGCAAAAGAGAAACCUGACUGCAGCUCCACCAGCCUGUUUCAGUCCCUCCAGUAAACAGCACUCACCCUGCUGGAUACUCAAGCCAGAUG
Molecule: long non-coding RNA, 602 nt
Organism: Manis pentadactyla (Chinese pangolin)
Lineage: Eukaryota; Metazoa; Chordata; Mammalia; Pholidota; Manidae
Exons: 3
Source: RefSeq, a predicted model, not a curated record